UCCAGCAGCCGCGGUAAUACGUAGGUGGCAAGCGUUGUCCGGAUUUAUUGGGCGUAAAGCGAGCGCAGGCGGUUUUUUAAGUCUGAUGUGAAAGCCUUCGGCUCAACCGAAGAAGUGCAUCGGAAACUGGGAAACUUGAGUGCAGAAGAGGACAGUGGAACUCCAUGUGUAGCGGUGAAAUGCGUAGAUAUAUGGAAGAACACCAGUGGCGAAGGCGGCUGUCUGGUCUGUAACUGACGCUGAGGCUCGAAAGUAUGGGUAGCAAACAGGAUUAGAUACCCUGGUAGUCCAUACCGUAAACGAUGAAUGCUAAGUGUUGGAGGGUUUCCGCCCUUCAGUGCUGCAGCUAACGCAUUAAGCAUUCCGCCUGGGGAGUACGGCCGCAAGGCUGAAACUCAAAGGAAUUGACGGGGGCCCGCACAAGCGGUGGAGCAUGUGGUUUAAUUCGAAGCUACGCGAAGAACCUUACCAGGUCUUGACAUACUAUGCAAAUCUAAGAGAUUAGACGUUCCCUUCGGGGACAUGGAUACAGGUGGUGCAUGGUUGUCGUCAGCUCGUGUCGUGAGAUGUUGGGUUAAGUCCCGCAACGAGCGGCACCCUUAUUAUCAGUUGCCAGCAUUAAGUUGGGCACUCUGGUGAGACUGCCGGUGACAAACCGGAGGAAGGUGGGGAUGACGUCAAAUCAUCAUGCCCCUUAUGACCUGGGCUACACACGUGCUACAAUGGAUGGUACAACGAGUUGCGAACUCGCGAGAGUAAGCUAAUCUCUUAAAGCCAUUCUCAGUUCGGAUUGUAGGCUGCAACUCGCCUACAUGAAGUCGGAAUCGCUAGUAAUCGCGGAUUCAGCAUGCCGCGGUGAAUACGUUCCCGGGCCUUGUACACACCGCCCGUCACACCAUGAGAGUUUGUAACACCCAAAGUCGGUGGGGUAACCUUUUAGGAACCAGCCGCCUAAGGUGGGACAGAUGAUUAGGGUGAAGUCGUAACAAGGUA
RNAcentral lists this ribosomal RNA (993 nucleotides) under Lactiplantibacillus plantarum. RNAcentral describes it as "bacterial SSU rRNA". It matches the Rfam family "Bacterial small subunit ribosomal RNA", at positions 507 to 1498 of the family's 1533-position model. Lineage: Bacteria; Bacillati; Bacillota; Bacilli; Lactobacillales; Lactobacillaceae. The record is from RNAcentral.